CAGUAGCCGCGGUAAUACGAAGGGGGCUAGCGUUGCUCGGAAUGACUGGGCGUAAGGGGCGCGUAGGCGGUUUUGACAGUCAGAUGUGAAAUUCCUGGGCUUAACCUGGGGGCUGCAUUUGAGACGUCAAGACUAGAGUGUGAGAGAGGGUUGUGGAAUUCCCAGUGUAGAGGUGAAAUUCGUAGAUAUUGGGAAGAACACCGGUGGCGAAGGCGGCAACCUGGCUCAUUACUGACGCUGAGGCGCGAAAGCGUGGGGAGCAAACAGGAUUAGAUACCCCCGUAGUCCCUGUCUCUUAUAC
RNAcentral lists this ribosomal RNA (301 nucleotides) under uncultured bacterium. RNAcentral describes it as "partial 16S ribosomal RNA". It matches the Rfam family "Bacterial small subunit ribosomal RNA", at positions 509 to 807 of the family's 1533-position model. The record is from RNAcentral.